AGGUCUUGACAUCCCGUUGACCACUAUGGAGACAUAGUUUUCCCUUCGGGGACAACGGUGACAGGUGGUGCAUGGUUGUCGUCAGCUCGUGUCGUGAGAUGUUGGGUUAAGUCCCGUAACGAGCGCAACCCUUAAUCUUAGUUGCCAGCAUUCAGUUGGGCACUCUAAGGUGACUGCCGGUGACAAACCGGAGGAAGGUGGGGAUGACGUCAAAUCAUCAUGCCCCUUAUGACCUGGGCUACACACGUGCUACAAUGGAUGGAACAAAGGGGAGCAAAACCGCGAGGUCAAGCAAAUCCCAUAAAACCAUUCUCAGUUCGGAUUGCAGGCUGCAACUCGCCUGCAUGAAGCCGGAAUCGCUAGUAAUCGCGGAUCAGCAUGCCGCGGUGAAUACGUUCCCGGGUC
RNAcentral lists this ribosomal RNA (405 nucleotides) under uncultured bacterium. RNAcentral describes it as "bacterial SSU rRNA". It matches the Rfam family "Bacterial small subunit ribosomal RNA", at positions 976 to 1380 of the family's 1533-position model. The record is from RNAcentral.